GCGGAAUUAGUAUAAUGGCAGUACAUGACCUUCCCAAGGUUAGGGCGUCGGUUCGAUUCCGUCAUUCCGUUCCA
This 74-nucleotide transfer RNA is filed under the name Candidatus Moraniibacteriota bacterium. RNAcentral's name for it is "Candidatus Moranbacteria bacterium (groundwater metagenome) tRNA-Gly". It matches the Rfam family "tRNA". From Rfam's summary of the family: Transfer RNA (tRNA) molecules are approximately 80 nucleotides in length. Their secondary structure includes four short double-helical elements and three loops (D, anti-codon, and T loops). The record is from RNAcentral. Lineage: Bacteria; Candidatus Moraniibacteriota.